Molecule: ribosomal RNA, 320 nt
Filed under: uncultured bacterium
Lineage: Bacteria
Description: bacterial SSU rRNA
Rfam family: Bacterial small subunit ribosomal RNA
Source: RNAcentral
AAUGAACGCUGGCGGCGUGCCUAACACAUGCAAGUCGAGCGAGAAAGCGGCUUCGGUCGUGAGUAAAGCGGCGAACGGGUGAGUAACACGUGGAUAACCUGCCUGGAAGUGGGGAAUAACUCGAGGAAACUCGGGCUAAUACCGCAUAUGUUCCCACUACUUAAGUGGUGAGAGCAAAGGUGGCCUCUUCAAGAAUGCUACUGCUUCCAGAUGGGUCCGCGGCUGAUUAGCUAGUUGGUGGGGUAAUGGCCUACCAAAGCGACGAUCAGUAGCCGGCCUGAGAGGGCGAUCGGCCACACUGGAACUGAGACACGGUCCAG